AUUUAAAGGGAUUAUUAAAUUUAUAUAUAUAUAAUUAUUUUAAUUAAAUAAAUUUUAAGUUAGAUUAUUAAUAGGAAAAAAUUUUUAUUUAUUAUAAUGAACUAGUAUUGUGAGAGAAUUUAUUAAAAAAUUAAUAAGAAAAAUUUUUUUUGUACCUUGUGUAUCAGGGUUUAAUAAAAAAUAUUUAAUUAAAUUAAUAUUCUCGAAUUAAAAAGAGUUAAUUUUUUAAUGAAUUUAUUGUGGGAUAAAUAUAUUUAAUAAGAAAUUAGAAAUGAAAUGUUAUUCGAUUUUUAAGUUUUCUAGUUUUUAAAGAAAAAAAUUUAAUUUUUUUAUAUUUAAAAUGAUUUUAAUUUUGAAAUUUUAUUUUAAAUAGGGAUUAUAUAUUUAGGGAUGAGCUUAAAUGUAGAAUAUUAAAAAUUUAUAAAUAAUAUUUUAAAUUUAGGAUUAUAAUUGUUUAUUUUUAAAAGGAUGUUAAAAUUAAUAAAUUUUAUAAAUAUUAGAUUUUUAUAAAUUUUAAUUUUUUUAUUUAAAAGAGUUAUUUAAUAUAAUAAUAAAUUUUAUAAUGUUAAAAUUAGUAUAAUAUUAUAUAUUAUUAAUUUAUUUAAAAGGUAAAUUUAAGGAAUUCGGCAAAAUUAUUUUUCACCUGUUUAUUAAAAACAUGUCUUUUUGAUUAUAAUUUAAAGUCGUCCCUGCCCCCUGAAUUGUUUAAAUGGCCGCGGUAUUUUGACCGUGCGAAGGUAGCAUAAUCAUUAGUUUUUUAAUUGAAAGCUGGAAUGAAAGGGUUGAUGAGAAAAUAACUGUCUCAAAUUUAUUUAUUUAGAAUUUUAUUUUUAAGUUAAAAAGCUUAAAUUUAAUUAGAGGACGAUAAGACCCUAUAGAGUUUAAUAAUUUAAAAUAUUUUAUUUUUUAGAAAUUUAAUUGUAAUUUAUUUAAAAUUAUUUAGUUGGGGUGAUUGUAAAAUUUAUAAAACUUUUAUUUUUGAAAACAUAAAUUUAUGAAUAUUUGAUCCAAAAAUUUUGAUUAUAAGAUUAAAUUACCUUAGGGAUAACAGCGUUAUUUUUUUUUAGAGUUCUAAUCGAAAAAAAAGAUUGCGACCUCGAUGUUGGAUUAAAAUUAAAUUUUGGAGUAGAAAUUGAAAGUUUAGGUCUGUUCGACCUUUAAAAUUUUACAUGAUCUGAGUUUAGACCGGCGUGAGCCAGGUUGGUUUCUAUCUUUAAUAAAUAUUAAUAUUUUAGUACGAAAGGAUUGAAU
This 1251-nucleotide ribosomal RNA is filed under the name Anthribidae sp. 9 ACP-2013. Its description in RNAcentral is "16S ribosomal RNA". The stretch from base 597 to 1251 matches the Rfam family "Archaeal large subunit ribosomal RNA", at positions 1423 to 2767 of the family's 2987-position model. Lineage: Eukaryota; Metazoa; Arthropoda; Insecta; Coleoptera; Anthribidae. The record is from RNAcentral.